AAGAAAGUAAAUAAGGGCGCAUGGCGGAUGCCUUGGCUCUCGGAGGCGAUGAAGGACGUGAUAAGCUGCGAUAAGCUUCGGGUAGGUGCAAAUGACCAUUGAUCCGAAGAUUUCCGAAUGGGACAACCCGGCAUUCUGAAGGAAUGUCAUCCAACUUGGUUGGAGGCUAACGCAGGGAACUGAAACAUCUUAGUACCUGCAGGAAAAGAAAAUAAAUAAUGAUUCCCCUAGUAGUGGCGAGCGAACGGGGAUUAGCCCAAACCACCCAUGUUACGGCAUGUGUGGGGUUGUAGGACCACGCUCUCGCAAGACAGUUAUUGAGAAGAAACGACUGGAAAGUCGUGCCAUAGACGGUGAUAGCCCGGUAUUCUAAGGUAACCGAAGCGUAGUGGUAUCCUGAGUAGCGCGGAGCACGAGGAAUUCUGCGUGAAUCAGCCGGGACCAUCCGGUAAGGCUAAAUACUCCCGAGAGACCGAUAGCGAACCAGUACUGUGAAGGAAAGGUGAAAAGCACUUCGAAUAGAAGAGUGAAAUAGUCCCUGAAACCAUGCGCCUACAAG
Molecule: ribosomal RNA, 559 nt
Filed under: Bacteroides hominis
Lineage: Bacteria; Pseudomonadati; Bacteroidota; Bacteroidia; Bacteroidales; Bacteroidaceae
Description: partial 23S ribosomal RNA
Rfam family: Bacterial large subunit ribosomal RNA
Source: RNAcentral